CAGCAGCCACGGUAAUACGUAGGGUGCGAGCGUUAAUCGGAAUUACUGGGCGUAAAGCGUGCGCAGGCGGUUGUGUAAGACAGGUGUGAAAUCCCCGGGCUUAACCUGGGAACUGCGCUUGUGACUGCACAGCUAGAGUAUGGCAGAGGGGGGUGGAAUUCCACGUGUAGCAGUGAAAUGCGUAGAGAUGUGGAGGAACACCGAUGGCGAAGGCAGCCCCCUGGGCCAAUACUGACGCUCAUGCACGAAAGCGUGGGGAGCAAACAGGAUUAGAUACCCGUGUAGUCCCUGUCUCUUAUAC
This 301-nucleotide ribosomal RNA is filed under the name uncultured bacterium. Its description in RNAcentral is "partial 16S ribosomal RNA". It matches the Rfam family "Bacterial small subunit ribosomal RNA", at positions 509 to 807 of the family's 1533-position model. The record is from RNAcentral.